AUCCGUAAAGGUAAACCCAUCGCAAGAUGGGGGCGCAAAGUCAUGGGUCCCGCUAUAAGCAGGAUCGCCAGAUUGCCGGAU
This 81-nucleotide non-coding RNA is filed under the name Chloroflexota bacterium. RNAcentral's name for it is "Chloroflexi bacterium c-di-GMP sequence". It matches the Rfam family "c-di-GMP-I-GGC riboswitch aptamer". The record is from RNAcentral. Lineage: Bacteria; Bacillati; Chloroflexota.